CCUACGGGUGGCAGCAGUGGGGAAUAUUGCACAAUGGGCGCAAGCCUGAUGCAGCCAUGCCGCGUGUGUGAAGAAGGCCUUCGGGUUGUAAAGCACUUUCAGCGGGGAGGAAGGCGUUAAGGUUAAUAACCUUGGCGAUUGACGUUACCCGCAGAAGAAGCGCCGGCUAACUCCGUGCCAGCAGCCGCGGUAAUACGGAGGGUGCAAGCGUUAAUCGGAAUUACUGGGCGUAAAGCGCACGCAGGCGGUCUGUCAAGUCGGAUGUGAAAUCCCCGGGCUCAACCUGGGAACUGCAUUCGAAGCUGGCAGGCUAGAGUCUUGUAGAGGGGGGUAGAAUUCCAGGUGGAGCGGUGAAAUGCGUAGAGAUCUGGAGGAAUACCGGUGGCGAAGGCGGCCCCCUGGACAAAGACUGACGCUCAGGUGCGAAAGCGUGGGGAGCAAACAGGAUUAGAUACCCGGGUAGUC
This 465-nucleotide ribosomal RNA is filed under the name uncultured Klebsiella sp. Its description in RNAcentral is "bacterial SSU rRNA". It matches the Rfam family "Bacterial small subunit ribosomal RNA", at positions 338 to 795 of the family's 1533-position model. Lineage: Bacteria; Pseudomonadati; Pseudomonadota; Gammaproteobacteria; Enterobacterales; Enterobacteriaceae. The record is from RNAcentral.